RNAcentral lists this ribosomal RNA (292 nucleotides) under uncultured bacterium. RNAcentral's name for it is "partial 16S ribosomal RNA". It matches the Rfam family "Bacterial small subunit ribosomal RNA", at positions 505 to 796 of the family's 1533-position model. The record is from RNAcentral.
GUGCCAGCAGCCGCGGUAAUACGGAGGAUGCAAGCGUUAUCCGGAUUCAUUGGGUUUAAAGGGUGCGCAGGCGGAAUAAUAAGUCAGCGGUGAAAGCCUACAGCUUAACUGUAGAACUGCCAUUGAUACUGUUAUUCUUGAGUGUUGUUGAGGUAGGCGGAAUGUGUCAUGUAGCGGUGAAAUGCUUAGAUAUGACACAGAACACCGAUCGCGAAGGCAGCUUACCAAGCAACAACUGACGCUCAUGCACGAAAGCGUGGGGAUCAAACAGGAUUAGAAACCCUAGUAGUCC